AGCCGCGAGGUGGAGCAAAACUAUAAAAAGACGAUCUCAGUUCGGACUGCAGGCUGCAACUCGCCUGCACGAAGUUGGAAUUGCUAGUAAUCGUGGAUCAGCAUGCCACGGUGAAUACGUUCCCGGGUCUUGUACACACCGCCCGUCACACCAUGGGAGCCGGUAAUACCCGAAGUCAGUAGUCUAACCGCAAGGAGGACGCUGCCGAAGGUAGGAUUGGCGACUGGGGUGAAGUCGUAACAAGGUAGC
Molecule: ribosomal RNA, 249 nt
Filed under: uncultured bacterium
Lineage: Bacteria
Description: partial 16S ribosomal RNA
Rfam family: Bacterial small subunit ribosomal RNA
Source: RNAcentral